UACAGAGGGGGCAAGCGUUGUUCGGAAUUACUGGGCGUAAAGGGCGCGUAGGCGGCCUGUUAAGUCGAACGUGAAAUCCCCGGGCUCAACCCGGGAACUGCGUCCGAUACUGGCAGGCUUGAAUCCGGGAGAGGGAUGCGGAAUUCCUGGUGUAGCAGUGAAAUGCGUAGAUAUCAGGAGGAACACCGAUGGCGAAGGCAGGUCUCUGGGCUGACACUGACGCUCAUGCACGAAAGCGUGGGGAGCAAACAGG
This 253-nucleotide ribosomal RNA is filed under the name uncultured bacterium. RNAcentral describes it as "partial 16S ribosomal RNA". It matches the Rfam family "Bacterial small subunit ribosomal RNA", at positions 524 to 776 of the family's 1533-position model. The record is from RNAcentral.